Molecule: long non-coding RNA, 364 nt
Filed under: Catagonus wagneri (Chacoan peccary)
Lineage: Eukaryota; Metazoa; Chordata; Mammalia; Artiodactyla; Tayassuidae
Description: lncRNA (ENSCWAG00000016336.1)
Source: RNAcentral
AAAACUUCUUGGAUGUGUUUUCUCCUCGGAGAACAACUUGGCUGAUGCUUUCUCCUGCAGGUCAGAGUGAUUUCCCAGCGAUUUCUUUGGCCGAUACCACCAGAGGACAGGAUUCUUCAUUCUGGCUGCUAAAUGCCUCUGUGCACCACACGUUGCAGUGAGGGAAGAAGGGCGGAGCUUCUCGGAUGAUGAUGGACAUUCCACUGGGCAGGAUGAAGGCAGAGUGUGUGACAUCGACACCACAAGGCUCUGAGGAAGCAUCACUAUAUUGGAUGAUGGUCAAAGCUUUUAUUUGCACUCUGAGAAACGGUUCUGGUACAUCCUGGGCCAGUGUAAACUUCCUCCUCGCCCUUCGCAGCCAGCU